UGCGCACAAUAGCGGCCGGCUCCUCUAUCUAUUUUGUGUCCAGCCGGAGCGGCGCGCGAUGAUUCAUUGCCCCAAUUAGGGGCUCUCUCCAGCGCGCCAGGCUCAAGCUGUCUGAAGGGUCUCCUGGGGGACCCGCCGAAACCCAUCAGCAGCUAGAGCUGGUCUUUAAGUAAAGGUCAAGCAGGACGCGGGAGGAGCCAGGUAAGGACGCGGCGGGCGCCCUUGGAGACAUUGGAGACGGAGGAACCCCCGGCCCCAGGGCCGCGGUAAGGGCAGCCCAAGUCCAGAUGCUGGCACCCUGCGGGGUUCGCUCAGGGCGGUCCGGCACCCUCUAAAGGGGGAACCAAGCCAGAAAGCCCUUUUCAGUCCCUAACAGGCCUGGGUUGGGGACACCAUUCAGGGCCCCAUGUUCUAAUUUUGGAGAGAGCGAAGAGGAGUCGUCCCAGUCUCCUUGGACCCACUAGUGAAUGCAGCAUCCAGCAGACAGUCUGGGGCCUGCUCUGCCCCCUCCCCACCACCGCCAGGGGUCACUGGGUCACCAGCAGAGGUAGAAAAGGUCCUGUGUGUCCCAAGUCCAGUGACUUAACCUCUCUGGGCCCCGAUUUCAUUCUCUUCAGCGGGAGCUGCAGCAGAGGAUUAACUGUUUCCACGUCUUUGUUGUACAUGUGUAGAGAUACGUUGUAUUUAUUUAAUAGGCAGACUGUUGUAAAUGCUUUAUAUACGUCACUCAAUUGCUCCUCCCAGUAACUAAAGGUUAAGUGUGAUCAGCCUCAUUUCACAGACAGCAAAGAAGUGGCAUUGACUGCCGUCGGGCUCCAGGCCCUGCUCUUGACCACCGGGGUGAGUAGCUGUGCGAGGCAAAUGUCUGGUCCAUGUCACCAGCCUGCUGAUGGAGACUGUCCAUGGCAGGGCAAGGCCAGGAUCCCUGGGUCCUCCCAGAUGAUCUGGCUCAGGCCCUGGUCCAGUCCAGGCAUCACCAGACCUCUCAUUUCCCAUCUGUGAAAUGGCACCCCUUCCAGCUUCAAAAUUCUCCGAGUCUCUGACUUCUGGGCAGUUUACAGCUUCCUCACACCAUUCUCAGCCUGGGGACAAAGGUGCCCGGUGGUCCCCUCCACCCACUGGGACGCUGAAAUGCAAGUAAAACUGGGCUUCCUCUUGGCAAGGAAGAGGGCCAUGCGUUAUAAAUAAACGCAAGAAGGCCUCAGCGCCGCCCGCGCCUGCUCUCCAGAAUCCCUGGGGGAUAUUCCAGGGCUCAAGGUCCAAGGGUUAACAGGAAAUCGUCAUUGCCAGAGAUGAGGGCCUUCGGGCCUUCACCCUGGCCCAGAGGAAUGCUGUGUCAGCAAAACUGUCCCGAAGGAAUGUUGGGGGUGGGGCGGGGGGCUUCCUGGCGCCUGGCAUUUUUAAUACCUGGAGAGAGGAGGGCGGGGGGCUGAUUAGGAAAAGUGUAAAGGGCAGUGCCUGUUGAAUUGCAUCCUUGCAGAGUUAGAGAGGCUGUCAGGUCCCACACAGACCAAGUGGCUGCUGGUUAAGACACUGCCCGGCCGGGGACAUCGGGUCCGCUGGAGGUUCUCCAGCUACCUGUCUGCACUACCGUGUGCUAUGGAGAGCCACUGUGAUGAGGUCACACACAGAGUCUGACGGAAGAGGGCCAUGGGCUCAGCCAGACCAAAAGAGAGAGGUCGGGUUGGCUGGGCUGACCUGGGUUCCUCCAGGAGGUAUUCUGAGUAUGCACCAUACGUAGGCAGGGGUGAGUGUGUGCAUGUGUGAAUGUGCAUGAUUCUGCGUUUGUUAGAGUGUAUACGUUUGUGUACAUAUGCGUAGUUAUAUAUGUAUGUGCAGCCUGUGUGUGAGCAUGUGAGUAUGCAUGUGUGUGUGCAUUGGUGUCCAUGAGUUCACCUGCGUGCUUGUGGGUGUGUGCCUGUGUGUGCAUGUCAAGUGGGCCAGUAAUAGGAGCGGGAGGCAUCCAGCUGGAUGUUUGUCUUCCCUUCACUGACCCAGUGACUCAGGAAAAUCCCCUGGAACACGUCUUGGGAGCCAGGAAGCAGAGUGAACACAGAUCAGAGGAGAAGGCGGGUGAUGGUGGCCACUCCUCUGGGUGGAUGACAUGGGGGCAGGGCCGCUGCCACAGCUCAACACACCAGAUCGACAUCACACCUCUGCCAUUUACUAGCCGUGUGGCUUUUGGCUUGCUCCUUUACCUCUCUGAGCCUCGGUUUCCCCAUCUGUAAAGCAGCACCAACUUGACAGUGUGCAGGGAGAGCGAAUCGAGCCAAUCCCGGGAAAGCACUUUGUGUCGGGAUGCAGAAUAGCAGUGAUAUAAACACUCGCAGCAUGUGUAAGCAUUAAACAUCCAGCACGCCCGUUCCGUGUAAAGCACAUGCCAGGACCUCUGCUUUGCAGGUGCCAACUCAACGAAUCUUUCCCAGAAGUCCAUGAGGUAGAUUCUGUGGUACCCGCAAGUGUAGGGGUGAGGGAAGUCACAGGCCCAGGGUCACACAGCGUUGUGGAGCUGGGACUGGCUCCCAGGCCGCAUGCCUGUGAAACCCCUUGCUUUACUAGCUGGCGAGAUUCACUUUGCUUUCAGUCCUGAGAUGCCGGGACAGGAACAACCUAGAGUCCGAUCUCCCCUCUGCUCACAUGUGUCCCCAGUUUCACACCAAAGGAAACAGGCCCUCACAUGUGCCUGUCUGGAUACAAAACAGGCCAAGUUUGUGCCAGGAGAUGAGAAGAAAUGCCAGGGUGCAUUGGCAUGAACUUCACACGCCAAAGUAGACUUGAAGUCCCUGUUUCUAAUGGAAAUGGGCAAAAGGCUCAAACAGGACUAAGCCGUCCAAACAUCCCUGGCAAGAGCUGCUGACGCCACAGCCUUACCGUCCCCAGCAGAGCCCUCUCUUGGCUUCCCUCUAAGCCUUACACCCCACCCUGCAGCUGGAGAGAGGGUGCCAGGCUCCCUGCAGACCACACACUGCACAGCCCGGCUCUCCGUCCUUCAAUCAUAGGACUUGAAAAGCACUGACAGACGCUCAUAGACAGACUCUGCAUUGGGAGCAGGUAAAAAAUGCCCACCUCCAUUCUGCAGGAGACAGGAGGCUGUCAGCAAGGAGCACCUGGACGUAUCUCAGAUUUGCAGCUACCUGUAGAACCUGAGCUGGCUUGCCUGGCCCUGCCCAGUUUCACAAAGCUGUGGACAUGGUUGGGGACCAAUCGGUGCUUGAACCAGGGACGCCGCUAGACUCUCCAAAACCUCACUCACUGUGCCUUCCAGUUCCAGAAUCAUUCAGCUGCCCGGCCAGCUUCUACUGCGCCAUCAAACAAGAUUCAACUCUGCCAUGUGCCCCUGGCUUUUCCCAGCCCUGCAACCCGGCUUCCCUUCUCACCGGGGCCUUUUGCCCUUUUCCUCCUCCUUCUAAACUGCGCCUGCGCCUCUGGCAUCCCUCCCAGGACCCACUUACCUUCUUAAGCUGGUCCAUCCUCCUCUUUUCAGAGGCGACGUGUGCUGUGUUUGGCCUCCGGCUCACUGGGGACCAGAAAAACAAAAUAUAUCAUCUGACUGCCCU
Non-coding RNA from Saimiri boliviensis boliviensis (Bolivian squirrel monkey), 3557 nucleotides. The record is from RefSeq and is a predicted model, not a curated record. NCBI's taxonomy places the organism in Eukaryota, Metazoa, Chordata, Mammalia, Primates, Cebidae.